Molecule: non-coding RNA, 267 nt
Filed under: Solanum tuberosum (potato)
Lineage: Eukaryota; Viridiplantae; Streptophyta; Magnoliopsida; Solanales; Solanaceae
Description: Bacterial small subunit ribosomal RNA
Rfam family: Bacterial small subunit ribosomal RNA
Source: Rfam by way of RNAcentral
GGGCGCGUGUCCAUACAACGCGCAUAAUCUUACCAACCCUUGACAUAUGAACAAGAAAACAUGUCCUUAACGGAAUGGUACUUACGUUCAUACAGGUGUUGCAUGGCUGUCGUCAGCUCGUGUCGUGAGAUGUUUGGUCAAGUCCUAUAACGAGCGAAAUCCUCGUUUUGUGUUGCUGAGACAUGCGCCUAAGGAUAAAGUCUUUGCAACCGAAGUGAGCUGAGGAGCCAAGUGACGUGCCAACGCUACUAAUUGAGUGUCAGCACC